This 206-nucleotide ribosomal RNA is filed under the name Aurantiochytrium limacinum. Its description in RNAcentral is "partial Bacterial small subunit ribosomal RNA". It matches the Rfam family "Bacterial small subunit ribosomal RNA", at positions 1324 to 1529 of the family's 1533-position model. Lineage: Eukaryota; Bigyra; Thraustochytrida; Thraustochytriidae. The record is from RNAcentral.
AGUCGGAAUCGCUAGUAAUCGCGGAUCAGCAUGCCGCGGUGAAUACGUUCCCAGGCCUUGUACACACCGCCCGUCACACCAUGGGAGUUUGUUGCACCAGAAGCAGGUAGCUUAACCUUCGGGAGGGCGCUUACCACUUUGUGAUUCAUGACUGGGGUGAAGUCGUAACAAGGUAGCCGUAGGGGAACCUGCGGCUGGAUCACCUC